This 492-nucleotide ribosomal RNA is filed under the name uncultured bacterium. RNAcentral's name for it is "partial 16S ribosomal RNA". It matches the Rfam family "Bacterial small subunit ribosomal RNA", at positions 29 to 507 of the family's 1533-position model. The record is from RNAcentral.
AGUGAACGCUGGCGGUAGGCCUAACACAUGCAAGUCGAACGGCAGCACAGUAAGAGCUUGCUCUUACGGGUGGCGAGUGGCGGACGGGUGAGGAAUACAUCGGAAUCUACUUUUUCGUGGGGGAUAACGUAGGGAAACUUACGCUAAUACCGCAUACGACCUACGGGUGAAAGCAGGGGAUCUUCGGACCUUGCGCGAUUGAAUGAGCCGAUGUCGGAUUAGCUAGUUGGCGGGGUAAAGGCCCACCAAGGCGACGAUCCGUAGCUGGUCUGAGAGGAUGAUCAGCCACACUGGAACUGAGACACGGUCCAGACUCCUACGGGAGGCAGCAGUGGGGAAUAUUGGACAAUGGGCGCAAGCCUGAUCCAGCUAUACCGCGUGGGUGAAGAAGGCCUUCGGGUUGUAAAGCCCUUUUGUUGGGAAAGAAAAGCAGCAGGUUAAUACCACGCUGUUCUGACGGUACCCAAAGAAUAAGCACCGGCUAACUUCGUG